RNAcentral lists this ribosomal RNA (946 nucleotides) under uncultured organism. Its description in RNAcentral is "bacterial SSU rRNA". It matches the Rfam family "Bacterial small subunit ribosomal RNA", at positions 535 to 1495 of the family's 1533-position model. The record is from RNAcentral.
CGAGCGUUAUCCGGAUUUAUUGGGCGUAAAGCGCUUGCAGGCGGUCAGGUAAUUCGGUUGUGAAAGCCCCGUGCUCAACACGGGGAGGCCAAGCGAUACUGCGUGACUUGAGGNCGGAAGAGGGGANUGGAAUUCCCGGUGUANCGGUAAAAUGCGCAGAUAUCGGGAGGAACACCAGUGGCGAAGGCGGCUCCCUGGACCGCACCUGACGCUCAGAGGCGAAAGCUAGGGGAGCGAACAGGAUUAGAGACCCUGGUAGUCCUAGCCCUAAACGCUGGAUGCUAGGUGUAGGGCUGAUGAGGCUCUGUGCCGGAGCGAACGCGAUAAGCAUCCCGCCUGGGAACUACGGCCGCAAGGCUAAAACUCAAACGAAUUGACGGGGACCCGCACAAGCAGCGGAGCGUGUGGUUUAAUUCGAUGCUACACGAAGAACCUUACCUGGGUUUGACAUGUUGGUGGUACCGAACCGAAAGGGGAGGGACCCUUCGGGGAGCCAACACAGGUGCUGCAUGGCUGUCGUCAGCUCGUGCCGUGAGGUGUCGGGUUAAGUCCCGUAACGAGCGCAACCCUUGCUCUUAGUUAUACGUGUCUAAGGGGACUGCCGGCGACAAGCCGGAGGAAGGUGGGGAUGACGUCAAGUCAGCAUGGCCUUGAUAUCCAGGGCUACACACACGCUACAAUGGCCGGUACAAAGGGCAGCCAAGCCGCGAGGUGGAGCGAAUCCCAGCAAAGCCGGUCCCAGUUCGGAUUGCAGGCUGCAACCCGCCUGCAUGAAGUUGGAGUUGCUAGUAACCGCGCGUCAGCCAUAGUGCGGUGAAUACGUACCCGGGUCUUGUACACACCGCCCGUCACGUCAUGGGAGUUGGCAACGCCUGACAGCGGUAGCCUAACCGAAAGGAGGCGCCGACUAAGGCGGGGCUAUAUACUGGGACGGAGUCGUAACAAG